Molecule: ribosomal RNA, 253 nt
Filed under: uncultured bacterium
Lineage: Bacteria
Description: partial 16S ribosomal RNA
Rfam family: Bacterial small subunit ribosomal RNA
Source: RNAcentral
UACAGAGGUCUCGAGCGUUAGGCGGAAUCACUGGGCUUAAAGCGUGUGUAGGCGGAUCGUUAAGUGCCUUGUGAAAUUCCACGGCUUAACCGUGGAACUGCUUGGCAUACUGGCGAUCUUGAGCAACCUAGGGGCGAGCGGAACAAAUGGUGGAGCGGUGAAAUGCGUAGAUAUCAUUUGGAACGCCAAUGGUGAAAACAGCUCGCUGGGGGUUUGCUGACGCUGAGACACGAAAGCCAGGGGAGCAAACGGG